UACGGGGGGAGCAAACGUUGUUCGGAAUCACUGGGCGUAAAGGGCGCGUAGGCGGCCUGAUAAGUAGGGGGUGAAAUCCUGUGGCUCAACUGCAGGGCUGCCUCCGAUACUCUCGAGCUGGAGGCAGGUAGGGGAGAUCGGAAUUCCUGGUGUAGCGGUGAAAUGCGCAGAUAUCAGGAGGAACACCGGUGGCGAAGGCGGAUCUCUGGGCCUUGCCUGACGCUGAGGCGCGAAAGCUAGGGGAGCGAACAGG
Molecule: ribosomal RNA, 253 nt
Filed under: uncultured bacterium
Lineage: Bacteria
Description: partial 16S ribosomal RNA
Rfam family: Bacterial small subunit ribosomal RNA
Source: RNAcentral